Molecule: ribosomal RNA, 474 nt
Filed under: uncultured archaeon
Lineage: Archaea
Description: bacterial SSU rRNA
Rfam family: Archaeal small subunit ribosomal RNA
Source: RNAcentral
UUACAAUGCUGGCAACAGCGAUAAGGGAACCUCGAGUGCCAGGUUACAAAUCUGGCUGUCGAGAUGCCUAAAAAGCAUUUCAUAGCAAGGGCCGGGCAAGACCGGUGCCAGCCGCCGCGGUAACACCGGCGGCUCGAGUGGUAACCGUUAUUAUUGGGUCUAAAGGGUCUGUAGCCGGCCGGAUAAGUCUCUUGAGAAAUCCAGCAGCUCAACUGUUGGGCUUUCAGGAGAUACUGUUCGGCUCGAGGCCGGGAGAGGUGAGAGGUACUUCAGGGGUAGGGGUGAAAUCUUGUAAUCCUUGAAGGACCACCAGUGGCGAAGGCGUCUCACCAGAACGGACCUGACGGCAAGGGACGAAAGCUAGGGGCACGAACCGGAUUAGAUACCCGGGUAGUCCUAGCCGUAAACGAUACUCGCUAGGUGUCGGCCACGGUGCGACCGUUGUCGGUGCCGUAGGGAAGCUGUGAAGCGAGC